UCUAUUCUGCUGGGUAGCUACUACAUGCUGCUAGGUGUCACUGGUGGAUGGUGGGACUCAUAGGGAUUAUCUCGAUGAUCGAUAACCCCCCCUCUUGGGUUGUAUCUACUGGGCAACAAGUGGUAUCAGAGCAGGUGCUCUAAGAUUAAUUAUUGAUCUCACGAUCAAGAGCCAAAGAUCAUGACAACUCAAAUAGAUAGUUUUCUAGGAGAAGGACAAUCAAUUGAUAC
This 230-nucleotide long non-coding RNA is filed under the name Phoenix dactylifera (date palm). RNAcentral's name for it is "long non-coding RNA (PDAC_LNC020011)". The record is from RNAcentral. Lineage: Eukaryota; Viridiplantae; Streptophyta; Magnoliopsida; Arecales; Arecaceae.